This 450-nucleotide ribosomal RNA is filed under the name uncultured Glomeromycotina. Its description in RNAcentral is "SSU rRNA". It matches the Rfam family "Eukaryotic small subunit ribosomal RNA", at positions 569 to 1023 of the family's 1831-position model. Lineage: Eukaryota; Fungi; Glomeromycota. The record is from RNAcentral.
AGCAGCCGCGGUAAUUCCAGCUCCAAUAGCGUAUAUUAAAGUUGUUGCAGUUAAAAAGCUCGUAGUUGAAUUUCGGGGUUAGUAGGUUGGUCGUGCCUCUGGUAUGUACUGGUCUCACUGAUUCCUCCUUCCUGAUGAGCCGUAAUGCCAUUAAUUUGGUGUUGCAGGGAAUCUGGACUGUUACUUUGAAAAAAUUAGAGUGUUUAAAGCAGGCUAACGCUUGAAUACAUUAGCAUGGAAUAAUGAAAUAGGACGUUCGAUCCUAUUUUGUUGGUUUCUAGGAUUGACGUAAUGAUUAAUAGGGAUAGUUGGGGGCAUUAGUAUUCAAUUGUCAGAGGUGAAAUUCUUGGAUUUAUUGAAGACUAACUACUGCGAAAGCAUUUGCCAAGGAUGUUUUCAUUAAUCAAGAACGAAAGUUAGGGGAUCGAAGACGAUCAGAUACCGUCGUAG